This 444-nucleotide ribosomal RNA is filed under the name uncultured archaeon. Its description in RNAcentral is "bacterial SSU rRNA". It matches the Rfam family "Bacterial small subunit ribosomal RNA", at positions 524 to 966 of the family's 1533-position model. The record is from RNAcentral.
UACGUAGGGUGCGAGCGUUAAUCGGAAUUACUGGGCGUAAAGCGUGCGCAGGCGGUUUUGUAAGACAGGCGUGAAAUCCCCGGGCUUAACCUGGGAACUGCGCUUGUGACUGCAAGGCUAGAGUACGGCAGAGGGGGGUGGAAUUCCACGUGUAGCAGUGAAAUGCGUAGAGAUGUGGAGGAACACCAAUGGCGAAGGCAGCCCCCUGGGUCGAUACUGACGCUCAUGCACGAAAGCGUGGGUAGCAAACAGGAUUAGAUACCCUGGUAGUCCACGCCCUAAACUAUGUCAACUAGGUGUUGGGUGGGUAAAACCAUUUAGUACCGUAGCUAACGCGUGAAGUUGACCGCCUGGGGAGUACGGCCGCAAGGUUAAAACUCAAAGGAAUUGACGGGGACCCGCACAAGCGGUGGAUGAUGUGGAUUAAUUGGAGUCAACGCCGGA